Molecule: ribosomal RNA, 421 nt
Filed under: uncultured bacterium
Lineage: Bacteria
Description: bacterial SSU rRNA
Rfam family: Bacterial small subunit ribosomal RNA
Source: RNAcentral
GAGGAAUAUUGCGCAAUGGAGGAAACUCUGACGCAGCCAUGCCGCGUGAAGGAUUGAAGGCCCUAUGGGUUGUAAACUUCUUUUAUACGGGAAAAAAACCUCGAUCGUGAUCGAGGCUGAUGGUACCGUAAGAAUAAGCACCGGCUAACUCCGUGCCAGCAGCCGCGGUAAUACGGAGGGUGCAAGCGUUAUCCGGAUUUAUUGGGUUUAAAGGGUCCGUAGGCGGAUCAUUAAGUCAGCGGUGAAAUCUCCCGGCUCAACCGGGAAACUGCCGUUGAUACUGAUGAUCUUGAGUACGAGUGAAGUUGGCGGAAUGUGUGGUGUAGCGGUGAAAUGCUUAGAUAUCACACAGAACACCUAUUGCGAAGGCAGCUGACUAACUCGUAACUGACGCUGAGGGACGAAAGUGUGGGGAUCAAAC